CCUACGGGUGGCAGCAGUGAGGAAUAUUGGUCAAUGGACGAGAGUCUGAACCAGCCAAGUAGCGUGAAGGAUGAAUGCCCUGUGGGUUGUAAACCUCUUUUAUCUGGGAAUAAAACGUUCCACGUGUGGGAUUUUGUAUGUACCAUAUGAAUAAGCAUCGGCUAACUCCGUGCCAGCAGCCGCGGUAAUACGGAGGAUGCGCGCGUUAUCCGGAUUUAUUGGGUUUAAAGGGUGCGUAGGCGGGCCGUUAAGUCAGCGGUAAAAUGGCGGGGCUCAACCCCGUGGAGCCGUUGAACCUGGGGGACUUGAGUUGGCGAGAAGUACGCGGAAUGCGCGGUGUAGCGGUGAAAUGCAUAGAUAUCGCGCAGAACCCCGAUUGCGAAGGCAGCGUACCGGCGCCAGACUGACGCUGAGGCACGAAAGCGUGGGGAUCGAACAGGAUUAGAUACCCUUGUAGUC
RNAcentral lists this ribosomal RNA (459 nucleotides) under uncultured bacterium. RNAcentral's name for it is "partial 16S ribosomal RNA". It matches the Rfam family "Bacterial small subunit ribosomal RNA", at positions 338 to 795 of the family's 1533-position model. The record is from RNAcentral.